This 405-nucleotide ribosomal RNA is filed under the name uncultured bacterium. RNAcentral describes it as "partial 16S ribosomal RNA". It matches the Rfam family "Bacterial small subunit ribosomal RNA", at positions 30 to 526 of the family's 1533-position model. The record is from RNAcentral.
AUUGAACGCUGGCGGCAGGCCUAACACAUGCAAGUCGAACGAGUGGCGGACGGGUGAGUAAUGUCUGGGAAACUGCCCGAUGGAGGGGAUAACUACUGGACACGGUAGCUAAUACCGCAUACCAUCGGAUGUGCCCAGAUGGGAGUAUCUAGUAGGUAGGGUAACGGCUCAACUAAGCGACGAUCCCUAGCUGGUCUGAGAGGAUGACCAGCCACACUGGAACUGAGACACGGUCCAGACUCCUACGGGAGGCAGCAGUGGGGAAUAGUGCACAAUGGGCGCAAGCCUGAUGCAGCCAUGCCGCGUGUAUGAAGAAGGCCUUCGGGUUGUAAAGUACUUUCAGCGAGGAGGCGUUACUCGCAGAAGAAGCACCGGCUAACUCCGUGCCAGCAGCCGCGGUAAUAC